AUUGAACGCUGGCGGCAUGCCUUACACAUGCAAGUCGAACGGCAGCACGGGUGCUUGCACCUGGUGGCGAGUGGCGAACGAGUGAGUAAUACAUCGGAACGUACCUUAUCGUGGGGGAUAACGCAACGAAAGCUGUGCUAAUACCGCAUACGCCCUGAGGGGGAAAGCGGGGGAUCGCAAGACCUCGCGCGAUUAGAGCGGCCGAUGCCUGAUUAGCUUGUUGGUGGGGUAAAAGCCCACCAAGGCGACGAUCAGUAGCUGGUCUGAGAGGACGAUCAGCCACACUGGGACUGAGACACGGCCCAGACUCCUACGGGAGGCAGCAGUGGGGAAUUUUGGACAAUGGGGGCAACCCUGAUCCAGCAAUGCCGCGUGAGUGAAGAAGGCCUUCGGGUUGUAAAGCUCUUUUGUCAGGGAAGAAACACCGGCUCUAACACAGUCCGGGAAUGACGGUACCUGAAGAAUAAGCACCGGCUAACUACGUGCCAGCAGCCGCGGUAA
RNAcentral lists this ribosomal RNA (501 nucleotides) under uncultured bacterium. Its description in RNAcentral is "partial 16S ribosomal RNA". It matches the Rfam family "Bacterial small subunit ribosomal RNA", at positions 30 to 523 of the family's 1533-position model. The record is from RNAcentral.